Molecule: long non-coding RNA, 604 nt
Filed under: Lonchura striata (white-rumped munia)
Lineage: Eukaryota; Metazoa; Chordata; Aves; Passeriformes; Estrildidae
Description: domestica (Bengalese finch) lncRNA (ENSLSDG00000014178.1)
Source: RNAcentral
CGCGCCCGCCCCGCCCCGGCGCGCCGCGUGUUCAGCGGGAUCCCGGCGGGAGAUCGCCCUUUCCGAGGGGGACGGAACCGAGCGGCCGAGCCUCCCGCCUCCGGCCGGCGUGCGUGCCUCGGCAGAAAGUGAAGCUCAAGAUGAGUUUGCUCCUGGCUUUGGGAAUCCUCAGUCUGGACUCUGCCAUGCCUUGCAAGCAGAAAGAUGCCACGUGAAUUCUGGAGCUGCAGAAGUUCUGUGACAUCAGAUGACCACCUCCACUGUCUUCCAGUGUGUGUGCACACUUGUGUGUGUGCACAAAGGGCCAAGAGGAGAGUCUACUCACUUCUAAAAGUGUGGGUUUUUAAGAAGCUUGAAAACAGAAGCCUGGAAUGUGGAGCUCUAAUGCACUUGGAAAUGCUUCUGUUACCAUUCCUGCUCGUCAGAAAUACUGCUUGGUUCCAUCGUAUGGCAGGGGAGUGGCUGUUCACCGAAAAUGAAUAAUCCUGGAAUGAAGUUCGGGAUAGUGUGUCACUCUAGAAAGAGAAGUGGCCUUCUGGGCAGUCUUAGAACUUAUAUGAAUUUUUGAGUGUAUGAAAUAAAUGGAUCAAAAGUGAAUAAAACA